GAAAUAAGAAUGUUCGAGGGGAAGCUUCUAACUUUAUUCUCAAGCGGUUCAAAUCCGUUUUUAUUUCU
Molecule: transfer RNA, 68 nt
Filed under: Scirtes orbicularis
Lineage: Eukaryota; Metazoa; Arthropoda; Insecta; Coleoptera; Scirtidae
Description: tRNA-Ser
Source: RNAcentral